Molecule: ribosomal RNA, 1224 nt
Filed under: metagenome
Description: SSU rRNA
Rfam family: Eukaryotic small subunit ribosomal RNA
Source: RNAcentral
CUCAUGGUUUCACGGUAUUGCAAUGAGAACAAUUUAAAACCCUUAGCGAGAAUCAAGUGGAGGACAAGUCUGGUGCCAGCACCCGCGGUAAUUCCAGCUCCACUAGCGUAUAUUAAAGUUGUUGCAGUUAAAAAGCUCGUAGUUGAACCUCUGUCUGGGGCUAGUUUAGGCUUUGGUCAGGCUAGUUCUAGGCAUCCGCCUACAAGACUUAGAGGGCAUUCAGUUGUUCACUAGGAGGAGUAGGCAUUUUACUUUGAAAAAAUUAGAGUGUUUAAGGCAGGCAAUCGCCCGCAUAUAUUAGCAUGGAAUAAUAGAAUAGGACACUUUUCCAUUUCGUUGGUUAUUGGAAUCGUGUAAUGAUUAAUAGGGACAGUUGUGGGCAUUUGUAUUUAAUUGUCAGAGGUGAAAUUCUUGGAUUUAUUAAAGACAAACUAACGCGAAAGCAUUUGCCAAGGAUGUUUUCAUUAAUCAAGAACGAAAGUUAGGGGAUCAAAGACGAUCAGAUACCGUCCUAGUCUUAACUAUAAACUAUUCCGACUCAAUGUUUGACUGGCUUAUAUAACCAGUUGAGCGUUGUAUGAGAAAUCAAAGUCUUUAGGUUCUGGGGGGAGUAUGGUUGCAAAGCUGAAACUUAAAGGAAUUGACGGAAGAGCACAACCAGGAGUGGAUUCUGCGGCUUAACUUGACUCAACACGGGGAAACUUACCAGGUUAAAACAAUAGUGGGAUUGACAGUUUGAGAGCGCUUUCUUGAUUGGUUGGGUGGUGGUGCAUGGCCGUUCUUAGUUGGUGGAGUGAUUUGUCAGCUUAAUUGCGUUAACGAACGAGACCUUAACCUGCUUACUAGACUGGCGAUCAUCAAUCGUUAGCUCUUCUUAGAGGGACUUUGGUUGUUUUAACUCCAAGGAAGUUUGAGGCAAUAACAGGUCUGUGAUGCCCUUAGAUAUCCUGGGCCGCACGCGUCAUACAAUGACUAGUUCAGAAAGUUUUCUCCUGACCCGAAAGGGGAUGGGUAAUCUUGAUAAUACUAGUCGUGUUAGGGAUCGAUCUUUGCAAUUAUAGAUCUUGAACGAGGAAUUCCUAGUAAGUGCGGUUCAUCAGACCGUACUGAUUACGUCCCUGCUCUUUGUACACACCGCCCGUCGCUUCUACCGAGUGGGUGGUCCGGUGAGAUAAUUGAACUUCGCAGGUAACUGAGAGGAAAGAUUAUCAAACCUAUCCACCU